This 30-nucleotide non-coding RNA is filed under the name Cricetulus griseus (Chinese hamster). The record is from RNAcentral. Lineage: Eukaryota; Metazoa; Chordata; Mammalia; Rodentia; Cricetidae.
CUCUUGACAGUGGGAUGACGAUAACCAUAA